GGUCAAGCGACUAAGCGCAUACGGUGGAUGCCUUGGCAGUCAGAGGCGAUGAAGGACGUUGUAGCCUGCGAUAAGCGUCGGGGAGCUGGCAAACAAGCUUUGAUCCGACGAUGUCCGAAUGGGGAAACCCACCCAGUGUAAGCUGGGUAUCCCUAGCUGAAUACAUAGGCUAUGGAGGCGAACCCGGGGAACUGAAACAUCUAAGUACCCGGAGGAAAGGAAAUCAAUUGAGAUUCCCUCAGUAGCGGCGAGCGAACGGGGAAGAGCCUGCAAGUGAUAGCAGUGCGGUUAGCGGAACGGUCUGGAAAGUCCGGCGAUAGAGGGUGAUAGCCCCGUACGCGAAAACUGCGCUGUGGUACUGAGCUUGCGACAAGUAGGUCGGGACACGUGAUAUCUUGACUGAAGAUGGGGGGACCAUCCUCCAAGGCUAAAUACUCCUGACUGACCGAUAGUGAACCAGUACCGUGAGGGAAAGGCGAAAAGAACCCCGGCGAGGGGAGUGAAAUAGAUCCUGAAACCGUGUGCGUACAAGCAGUGGGAGCCCGAUCUUCAAGCCGCUUCGGUGGUGAGAAGAGGCCGUCCGAGCUGAGUUGAGCGGUUGUCAUCGCGUAGCGAUGACCAACCCCUUAAACAAGGCAGAGGGGGCUUGAAGAUCGGGUGACUGCGUACCUUUUGUAUAAUGGGUCAGCGACUUAUUGUCUGUAGCAAGGUUAACCGUUUAGGGGAGCCGUAGGGAAACCGAGUCUUAAUAGGGCGUAUAGUUGCAGGCAAUAGACCCGAAACCGGGCGAUCUAUCCAUGGCCAGGCUGAAGGUUGGGUAACACUAACUGGAGGGCCGAACCCACUAACGUUGAAAAGUUAGGGGAUGAGCUGUGGAUCGGAGUGAAAGGCUAAUCAAGCCCGGAGAUAGCUGGUUCUCCUCGAAAUCUAUUUAGGUAGAGCGUUGUGUAUCACCCUGGGGGGUAGAGCACUGUUUGGGCUAGGGGGUCAUCCCGACUUACCAACCCCAUGCAAACUCCGAAUACCCAGGAGUGGCAGCACGGCAGACAGACGGCGGGUGCUAACGUCCGUCGUCGAGAGGGCAACAACCCAGACCGCCAGCUAAGGUCCCCAAUACCGGUUAAGUGGGAAACGAUGUGGGAAGGCUCAGACAGCUAGGAGGUUGGCUUAGAAGCAGCCAUCCUUUAAAGAAAGCGUAAUAGCUCACUAGUCGAGUCGGCCUGCGCGGAAGAUGUAACGGGGCUAAACCGGUAACCGAAGCUGCGGGUAGGUGGAUUCUUUGGAGUUCAUUUACGGUAGAGGAGCGUUCUGUAAGCCGUUGAAGGUAGAUCGGGAGGUCUGCUGGAGGUAUCAGAAGUGCGAAUGCUGACAUGAGUAACGAUAAGGGGGGUGAAAAACCUCCCCGCCGGAAGAUCAAGGUUUCCUGUCCAACGUUAAUCGGGACAGGGUGAGUCGGCCCCUAAGGCGAGGGCGAAAGCCGUAGUCGAUGGGAAACGGGUUAACAUUCCCGUACUUUUUCAUGGUGCGAUGGGGGGACGGAGUAGGCUAGGCCAGCGCGGCGUUGGUUGUCCGCGUUUAAGGCAGUAGGCUGGAAUCUUAGGCAAAUCCGGGAUUCUGAGGCCGAGAGCUGAUGACGAGUUCAAGGGGAGACCCGCGAGCGAAGUGGUUGAUGCCAGACUUCCAGGAAAAGCCUCUAAGCUUCAGCCAUGAAGGAACCGUACUGUAAACCGACACAGGUGAUCAGGUAGAGAAUACCAAGGCGCUUGAGAGAACUCGGGUGAAGGAACUAGGCAAAAUGGUACCGUAACUUCGGGAGAAGGUACGCCGGCUUUGGUGAUGGGACUUGCUCCCUGAGCUGAGGCUGGUCGAAGUGACCAGGUGGCUGCGACUGUUUAUUAAAAACAUAGCACUCUGCAAACUCGAAAGAGGACGUAUAGGGUGUGACGCCUGCCCGGUGCCGGAAGGUUAAAUGAUGGGGUUAUCUUCGGAGAAGCUCUUGAUUGAAGCCCCGGUAAACGGCGGCCGUAACUAUAACGGUCCUAAGGUAGCGAAAUUCCUUGUCGGGUAAGUUCCGACCUGCACGAAUGGCGUAACGAUGGCCACACUGUCUCCACCCGAGACUCAGUGAAAUUGAAAUCGCUGUUAAGAUGCAGUGUACCCGCGGCUAGACGGAAAGACCCCGUGAACCUUUACUACAGCUUCACACGGGACUUUGACCUUACUUGUGUAGGAUAGCUGGGAGGCUUUGAAGCGGUGGCGCUAGCCAUCGUGGAGCCGCCCUUGAAAUACCAGCCUGGUAAUGUUGAGGUUCUAACCCAGGCCCGUUAUCCGGGCCGGGGACAGUGUGUGGUGGGUAGUUUGACUGGGGCGGUCUCCUCCCAAAGCGUAACGGAGGAGCACGAAGGUGCGCUAAUCACGGUCGGAAAUCGUGAGGUUAGUGUAAAGGCACAAGCGCGCUUGACUGCGAGACUGACAAGUCGAGCAGGUAGGAAACUAGGUCUUAGUGAUCCGGCGGUUCUGAAUGGAAGGGCCGUCGCUCAACGGAUAAAAGGUACUCCGGGGAUAACAGGCUGAUACCGCCCAAGAGUUCACAUCGACGGCGGUGUUUGGCACCUCGAUGUCGGCUCAUCACAUCCUGGGGCUGAAGCCGGUCCCAAGGGUAUGGCUGUUCGCCAUUUAAAGUGGUACGCGAGCUGGGUUUAGAACGUCGUGAGACAGUUCGGUCCCUAUCUGCCGUGGGCGUUGGAGAAUUGAGGGAAGCUGCUCCUAGUACGAGAGGACCGGAGUGGACGAACCCCUGGUGUUCCGGUUGUCACGCCAGUGGCAUUGCCGGGUAGCUACGUUCGGACGGGAUAACCGCUGAAAGCAUCUAAGCGGGAAGCCUCUCCCAAGAUGAGUUCUCCCUGACCCCUUGAGGGUCCUGAAGGGCCGUCCAAGACUAGGACGUUGAUAGGCUGGGUGUGGAAGCGUUGUAAGGCGUUGAGCUAACCAGUACUAAUUGCCCGUGAGGCUUGACCAU
Molecule: ribosomal RNA, 3019 nt
Filed under: Pseudohaliea rubra DSM 19751
Lineage: Bacteria; Pseudomonadati; Pseudomonadota; Gammaproteobacteria; Cellvibrionales; Halieaceae
Description: Bacterial large subunit ribosomal RNA
Rfam family: Bacterial large subunit ribosomal RNA
Source: Rfam by way of RNAcentral